AGCGAACGCUGGCGGCAGGCCUAACACAUGCAAGUCGAACGAACCUUUCGGGGUUAGUGGCGGACGGGUGAGUAACACGUGGGAACGUGCCUUUAGGUUCGGAAUAACUCUGGGAAACUUGUGCUAAUACCGAAUGUGCCCUUCGGGGGCAAGAUUUAUCGCCUUUAGAGCGGCCCGCGUCUGAUUAGCUAGUUGGUUGAGGUAAUGGCUCACCAAGGCGACGUUCAGUAGCUGGUCUGAGAGGAGGAUCAGCCACAGUGGGACUGAGACACGGCCCAAACUCCUACGGGAGGCGGCAGUGGGGAAUCUUGCGAAAUGGGCGAAGGCCUGACGCAGCCAUGCCGCGUGAAUGAUGAAGGUCUUAGGAUUGUAAAAUUCUUUCACCGGGGACGAUAAUGACGGUACCCGGAGAAGAAGCCCCGGCUAACUUCGUG
RNAcentral lists this ribosomal RNA (434 nucleotides) under uncultured bacterium. RNAcentral's name for it is "partial 16S ribosomal RNA". It matches the Rfam family "Bacterial small subunit ribosomal RNA", at positions 29 to 507 of the family's 1533-position model. The record is from RNAcentral.